Molecule: long non-coding RNA, 600 nt
Filed under: Nicotiana tabacum (common tobacco)
Lineage: Eukaryota; Viridiplantae; Streptophyta; Magnoliopsida; Solanales; Solanaceae
Description: long non-coding RNA (NTAB_LNC000658)
Source: RNAcentral
UCCUAUUGACUUGAUUGAUCAGUCUUCUUCCCUGAACCUUCUGCCUGAGGAGAUUCUGCAACAUCGAACCAUUACCAAGGGCCAACAUCAACUUUCACAAUGCCUUGUCAAAUGGGUGGGCUUACCAGUUUCGGAUGCCACUUGGGAAGAUACUUCAUUGCUACAGCGUCAGUUUCCCAGCUUGAACCUUGAGGACAAGGUUCCUCUUCAAGGGGUAGGCAAUGUUGUGAACCAAGGUAUUGGACCAGCUGCACUUGAUAUUGGGCUAAAGAGAAGCUCCAGGCGCGUGAACUCUCCAAAAUAUUUCAAGGACUUUGUGGUCCCCAAAGCCAAUGGAUAAGAGAGGGCACCUGCAAUGCUGUUAUGCGAGGACAACUGUGAGCACUAUUGGAGAAAUAUUCCCAACAGACAUUAGUAUAAGUAGUAGUAGGUUUCCCUAAUUAGGCAGAAAAUAUGCCGAGUCUUUUUGUUUGUUUUUGCUAAGGAGCAGUCUGGAACCUUCCCCCUUCUUCAUUUUUCCUUUCUUUUAGUGUUUAUCUUACUUUUUGAGUCCAUUGUAAGUAGAGUUGCUAAGUUUGAGAUUGAAUCAAAGAAGUUUCC